AUUGUGACAUGUUAAACAAAAACGCCGCAGGUGUACGCUGCCGGCGUUUUUGAUGGGG
Molecule: small RNA, 58 nt
Filed under: Salmonella enterica subsp. enterica serovar Typhi str. E98-3139
Lineage: Bacteria; Pseudomonadati; Pseudomonadota; Gammaproteobacteria; Enterobacterales; Enterobacteriaceae
Description: Salmonella enterica sRNA STnc310
Rfam family: Salmonella enterica sRNA STnc310
Source: Rfam by way of RNAcentral